This 1224-nucleotide ribosomal RNA is filed under the name metagenome. RNAcentral's name for it is "SSU rRNA". It matches the Rfam family "Eukaryotic small subunit ribosomal RNA", at positions 493 to 1774 of the family's 1831-position model. The record is from RNAcentral.
CUCAUGGUUUCACGGUAUUGCAAUGAGAACAAUUUAAAACCCUUAGCGAGAAUCAAGUGGAGGACAAGUCUGGUGCCAGCACCCGCGGUAAUUCCAGCUCCACUAGCGUAUAUUAAAGUUGUUGCAGUUAAAAAGCUCGUAGUUGAACCUCUGUCUGGGGCUAGUUUUGGCUUUGGUCAGGCUAGUUCUAGGCAUCCGCCUACAAGACUUAGAGGGCAUUCAGUUGUUCACUAGGAGGAGUAGGCAUUUUACUUUGAAAAAAUUAGAGUGUUUAAGGCAGGCAAUCGCCCGCAUAUAUUAGCAUGGAAUAAUAGAAUAGGACACUUUUCCAUUUCGUUGGUUAUUGGAAUCGUGUAAUGAUUAAUAGGGACAGUUGUGGGCAUUUGUAUUUAAUUGUCAGAGGUGAAAUUCUUGGAUUUAUUAAAGACAAACUAACGCGAAAGCAUUUGCCAAGGAUGUUUUCAUUAAUCAAGAACGAAAGUUAGGGGAUCAAAGACGAUCAGAUACCGUCCUAGUCUUAACUAUAAACUAUUCCGACUCAAUGUUUGACUGGCUUAUAUAACCAGUUGAGCGUUGUAUGAGAAAUCAAAGUCUUUAGGUUCUGGGGGGAGUAUGGUUGCAAAGCUGAAACUUAAAGGAAUUGACGGAAGAGCACAACCAGGAGUGGAUUCUGCGGCUUAAUUUGACUCAACACGGGGAAACUUACCAGGUUAAAACAAUAGUGGGAUUGACAGUUUGAGAGCGCUUUCUUGAUUGGUUGGGUGGUGGUGCAUGGCCGUUCUUAGUUGGUGGAGUGAUUUGUCUGCUUAAUUGCGUUAACGAACGAGACCUUAACCUGCUUACUAGACUGGCGAUCAUCAAUCGUUAGCUCUUCUUAGAGGGACUUUGGUUGUUUUAACUCCAAGGAAGUUUGAGGCAAUAACAGGUCUGUGAUGCCCUUAGAUAUCCUGGGCCGCACGCGACAUACAAUGACUAGUUCAGAAAGUUUUCUCCUGACCCGAAAGGGGAUGGGUAAUCUUGAAAAUACUAGUCGUGUUAGGGAUCGAUCUUUGCAAUUAUAGAUCUUGAACGAGGAAUUCCUAGUAAGUGCGGUUCAUCAGACCGUACUGAUUACGUCCCUGCUCUUUGUACACACCGCCCGUCGCUUCUACCGAGUGGGUGGUCCGGUGAGAUAAUUGAACUUCGCAGGUAACUGAGAGGAAAGAUUAUCAAACCUAUCCACCU